GGAUGUGAGGGCAAUCUGGCUGUGACACUCACCCCAUUGAUCACCAGGGUUGAUUCUGCUCGGCUGAUCUGGCUGGCUCGGCGGGCAUUCCCCUCCUCCCUUACCACUCCAUGUGCGUUCCUCCUGAAGCUGCGUGCUCGGUGGAAGAGGACGACCAUCCUUGAUAGAUGAGGACUGGUCUUCGGUCAAGGGUAUACAAAUAGCUGUGGUCCCCCACUGGAACCUCCAAACAAGCUCUCAAGAGUUAAGAAAAAUGAUAUAGUUUAGAAUUCACAUCUACAUAAAGAAUAGCAUUAAAGAAGGAAUAAAGGCAAAAUAUAAUUCUUUUAUUU
This 332-nucleotide small nuclear RNA is filed under the name Cebus imitator (Panamanian white-faced capuchin). RNAcentral describes it as "7SK RNA (ENSCCAG00000007142.1)". It matches the Rfam family "7SK RNA". Rfam says of the family: 7SK was discovered as an abundant small nuclear RNA in the mid-70s but a possible function has only recently been suggested. Two independent studies have found that 7SK RNA binds the CDK9/cyclin T complex (known as elongation factor P-TEFb). P-TEFb activates transcription by phosphorylating the C-terminal domain of RNA polymerase II. Lineage: Eukaryota; Metazoa; Chordata; Mammalia; Primates; Cebidae. The record is from Rfam by way of RNAcentral.